This 22-nucleotide small nuclear RNA is filed under the name Spadella cephaloptera. Its description in RNAcentral is "partial spliced leader precursor". The record is from RNAcentral. Lineage: Eukaryota; Metazoa; Chaetognatha; Sagittoidea; Phragmophora; Spadellidae.
GAGUAGUUUCAAUUUGUUUAAA